AUCCAGCUGACUAAUUCCAAAUAGGACGAAACGUGCGUUCUGGAU
This 45-nucleotide non-coding RNA is filed under the name Schistosoma mattheei. Lineage: Eukaryota; Metazoa; Platyhelminthes; Trematoda; Strigeidida; Schistosomatidae. The record is from RNAcentral.